This 468-nucleotide ribosomal RNA is filed under the name uncultured bacterium. RNAcentral's name for it is "partial 16S ribosomal RNA". It matches the Rfam family "Bacterial small subunit ribosomal RNA", at positions 28 to 507 of the family's 1533-position model. The record is from RNAcentral.
GACGAACGCUGGCGGCGUGCUUAACACAUGCAAGUCGAACGGAAAGGCCCUGCUUUUGUGGGGUUCUCGAGUGGCGAACGGGUGAGUAACACGUGAGUAACCUGCCCUUGACUUUGUGAUAACUUCAGGAAACUGGGGCUAAUACCGGAUAGGAGCUCCUGCUGCAUGGUGGGGGUUGGAAAGUUUCGGCGGUUGGGGAUGGACUCGCGGCUUAUCAGCUUGUUGGUGUGGUAGUGGCUUACCAAGGUUUUGAAGGGUAGCCGGCAUGAGAGGGUUAACGGCCACAAUGGGACUGAGAGACGGACCAGAAUCGUACGGGAGGCAGAAGUGGGGAAUAUUGCACAAUGGGCGGAAGCGUGAUGCAGAAACGCCGCGUGCGGGAUGACGGCCUUCGGGUUGUAAACAGCUUUCGCAUGUGACGAAGAGUGAGUGACGGUAAUGGGUAAAGAAGCACCGGCUAACUACGUG